RNAcentral lists this long non-coding RNA (325 nucleotides) under Lathyrus oleraceus (garden pea). Its description in RNAcentral is "Pisum sativum (pea) long non-coding RNA (PSAT_LNC012571)". Lineage: Eukaryota; Viridiplantae; Streptophyta; Magnoliopsida; Fabales; Fabaceae. The record is from RNAcentral.
AUUCACAUACCAAUUUUCAUUAUUUUUAAAAUCUUUUUGGGGGAUGAUGAUGUCCUGACCCCACCUUAUUUAGUUUAAUUUUUCAUAAUUUUCUUGAUUAAUUUGCUAUUUAUUUGAUAAUUAUUAAGUUGACUUGAUUUUUCAGUUGACUUCUUUAUGAUUGAUGUUUGACUUAGGGAUUGCUUAUGGCAAUUGAAGAGAUCUUUUGAUCCUCCCUUGUUCAUCUCAUAUGCCAUGUAUUAGAGGCCCUUUAUCUUGAUUUUAUUUGAUCGUUACCUCAUUUCUUGAUUAAAUUAUUUCAAUGAACCCUUUUUGUACAUCUUUU